GCGAACGCUGGCGGCAGGCCUAACACAUGCAAGUCGAGCGCCCGUAGCAAUACGGGAGCGGCAGACGGGUGAGUAACACGUGGGAACGUGCCCUUUGGUUCGGAAUAACUCAGGGAAACUUGAGCUAAUACCGGAUAAGCCCUUACGGGGAAAGAUUUAUCGCCGAAGGAGCGGCCCGCGUCCGAUUAGCUAGUUGGUGGGGUAAUGGCCCACCAAGGCUACGAUCGGUAGCUG
Molecule: ribosomal RNA, 234 nt
Filed under: uncultured bacterium
Lineage: Bacteria
Description: partial 16S ribosomal RNA
Rfam family: Bacterial small subunit ribosomal RNA
Source: RNAcentral